Molecule: ribosomal RNA, 497 nt
Filed under: uncultured bacterium
Lineage: Bacteria
Description: partial 16S ribosomal RNA
Rfam family: Bacterial small subunit ribosomal RNA
Source: RNAcentral
GAUGAACGCUGGCGGCGUGCCUAAUACAUGCAAGUCGAGCGAACAGAUGAGGAGCUUGCUCCUCUGACGUUAGCGGCGGACGGGUGAGUAACACGUGGAUAACCUACCUAUAAGACUGGGAUAACUUCGGGAAACCGGAGCUAAUACCGGAUAAUAUAUUGAACCGCAUGGUUCAAUAGUGAAAUACGGUUUUGCUGUCACUUAUAGAUGGAUCCGCGCGGCAUUAGCUAGUUGGUAAGGUAACGGCUUACCAAGGCAACGAUGCGUAGCCGACCUGAGAGGGUGAUCGGCCACACUGGAACUGAGACACGGUCCAGACUCCUAAGGGAGGCAGCAGUAGGGAAUCUUCCGCAAUGGGCGAAAGCCUGACGGAGCAACGCCGCGUGAGUGAUGACGGUCUUCGGAUCGUAAAACUCUGUUAUUAGGGAAGAACAAAUGUGUAAGUAACUAUGCACGUCUUGACGGUACCUAAUAAGAAAGCCACGGCUAACUACGUG